AGAGCGAACGCUGGCGGCAGGCCUAACACAUGCAAGUCGAGCGCCCGUAGCAAUACGGGAGCGGCAGACGGGAUAGUAACACGUGGGAACGCGCCCUUCGGUUCGGAAUAACUCAGGGAAACUUGAGCUAAUACCGAAUACGCCCUUACGGGGAAAGAUUUAUUGCCGAAGGAACGGCCCGCGUCCGAUUAGCUAGUUGGUGAGGUAAUGGCUCACCAAGGCUACGAUCGGUAGCUGGUCUGAGAGGAUGACCAGCAUCACUGGGACUGAGACACGGCCCAGACUCCUACGGGAGGCAGCAGUGGGGAAUAUUGGACAAUGGGCGAAAGCCUGAUCCAGCCAUGCCGCGUGGAUGAUGAAGGCCUUAGGGUUGUAAAGUCCUUUAACGGGGAAGAUAAUGACGGUACCGUAGAAUAAGCCCCGGCUAACUUCGUGCCAGCAGCCGC
RNAcentral lists this ribosomal RNA (446 nucleotides) under uncultured bacterium. RNAcentral describes it as "SSU rRNA". It matches the Rfam family "Bacterial small subunit ribosomal RNA", at positions 26 to 518 of the family's 1533-position model. The record is from RNAcentral.